Molecule: long non-coding RNA, 1954 nt
Filed under: Aedes aegypti (yellow fever mosquito)
Lineage: Eukaryota; Metazoa; Arthropoda; Insecta; Diptera; Culicidae
Description: lncRNA AAEL027044
Source: RNAcentral
GUUUACCUGUAUUUAAGUAUUGAGGGGAUAACGCAGCUCAUUUGUAAAAUAUUUAGCUUGAAGCAGUGAUCUUACCGUGGGCAAAACGCCACUAUCAUAAAGCUAAACAAGGCAAUCUUAUUAGGGUAAGUCGUUGAAGGUUGAACGUUUCGAUUCAUUCCUAAAUGUUGAACACUCAUCAAGAAAAGCAUGAGCUGGUAAACAUCCAGCGAGAAAUUAAACCGUUGCAUAAGAGGCGACAUGCCCUAUAUCGCAUUUAAAAACACGUAUGCUGGUAUUGAAAACAGAAACAAAGUAAAGCAAAGUAUUGCCCACAUACCCAACACAAUACAGGUUACGAUGCUGAAACCAAGUCCGUCACAAAAACAAAUACUAUGCUAAAAGAUAAGACAACGCGCAUAUGAACCGUUAUCAGCAAUGUAAACAAAGUGAAUGCCUAAGUGAUGUGAAGAAUGAAACAGAAAAAUCCCCAUACACACUGUACCGUAAGUAAAGUAGGUAAUCAGCUGGUGUUUUGAUGUGCCGUGAAAUUGCGUCUUCCCACACAGUUCCAGUAUCAAUCAAGCAACCACCUGCUAAAGCGGGACUGGCCGUCUACUCGGUUUGUCAGAUGUAAUCAAUUAUUGGUCACCUUUCAUUCAGCUCUGUGUCUGGUGUUACCCGUCUUCGCCGCGUACGAAACUACCUUCAAACGACACAGUUGACCAAGUUAACCCGCGAACCCCCAAUAAGGAAGACAGUCAAUGGUGUAAGAGUCCUCAGCCUGUUGUUACCUGUCUGCUCCGGUAACUGAAUGUACCGCCCUCCGGAACGCCACUCUAUUGUGCCACCGCCACGUUAUGCCCAAAGGGGGUUUUUAUGCAACUUUUAUAUGCCACAGAUUUUCUCCAAUAGUAAGUGGACUGGUAACAGUUAAUAUAAGAAGAAAACUGCAAAAUAUUCUACCUUAGAUUUUUUGGGUAAUCCUUUUGAAGUUUUCUUCAGUUACGUUUACAUUAUUGUUAUUGAUUUCAUAACCAAACAUUUCGACCUCAACUGUAAGGCCGUCUUCAGUGUUGUGUACUAGUACAGCUCAGAGAUAUAUUAUCAUUCAAAAGACGAUUUCUUAAAAAAAAAUACAUUCACGGUUGCGGUUUAACUAGUUUGUUUCUUAUGAUUAAAAAUAACUUCCUGUGAAAAAAAACGUGAGGUACAUGAAAGUUGCAUAAUAACUCCUUUCGGACACAGCGUACACCGUUCGCGCUGUUCAUUGAUCGCAAAACGAUCGAUCGGUGGUUGAUCGAUCGGCGGCCGCGUAAUUCAAUUAUUCACCCAUAUUCGGUAAACUAAUGACCUGCUAUCGACGACGACGCCGAUUUCGACGAAUUUGGCUGCAGAGCCGGGGAGAGCAAGCUGCGUCACACAAAGUUGUCGUCGGUCUGGUAGAUAGCUGUAGUCGUCGAACAGCAAAAGCCAGUCUCACUGACGAAGACGGACGGUAAUAAGUAAGGAGCUCGUGUUUACGAGGCAACGGAUAUACAUACUUAGCUUGCAGCAUGGGUGAAGUGAUCAAAUCUUGCUAUUACUGUUGCUGCACCUGUUACCAGUCGGGUCUUUGCUGUGCAAGCUUGUGCUGCGUACUUCUACCGAUAAUCGGCCUACUUUUGGUGCUGACCGGCAUCGUCGUUGCCGUAAUGCUCGCCUUCUCCGUUGGGAACCAAAGCCCAAGUGAAUACACAAUCAGCCGUCUGUUGACGACGCUGACGAGCAACUCCACCAGUGGAUCCGGACCCCAUGGCGAUUAGUCAUUUCGUUUUGUGUUUUCUGAAAACAUUAUGCUAAGAUUUGUUUAUAGCUGGUAUUUAUUGAAUUUAGGUUUAGAUUAGCCAUAUUUGUGUGAGCGUAGAAUAAUCUGUACAUGAGUAGGAACCUACAUAAACUAUCGCCCCGUCAACCCGUCUGGGGCCAAAUGUCA